AAAUUGAAGAGUUUGAUCAUGGCUCAGAUUGAAUGCUGGCGGCAGGCCUAACACAUGCAAGUCGAACGGUAACAGGAAGAAGCUUGCUUCUUUGCUGACGAGUGGCGGACGGGUGAGUAAUGUCUGGGAAACUGCCUGAUGGAGGGGGAUAACUACUGGAAACGGUAGCUAAUACCGCAUAACGUCGCAAGACCAAAGAGGGGGACCUUCGGGCCUCUUGCCAUCGGAUGUGCCCAGAUGGGAUUAGCUUGUUGGUGGGGUAACGGCUCACCAAGGCGACGAUCCCUAGCUGGUCUGAGAGGAUGACCAGCCACACUGGAACUGAGACACGGUCCAGACUCCUACGGGAGGCAGCAGUGGGGAAUAUUGCAC
RNAcentral lists this ribosomal RNA (372 nucleotides) under Escherichia coli. Its description in RNAcentral is "bacterial SSU rRNA". It matches the Rfam family "Bacterial small subunit ribosomal RNA", at positions 1 to 369 of the family's 1533-position model. The record is from RNAcentral. Lineage: Bacteria; Pseudomonadati; Pseudomonadota; Gammaproteobacteria; Enterobacterales; Enterobacteriaceae.